Molecule: ribosomal RNA, 492 nt
Filed under: uncultured bacterium
Lineage: Bacteria
Description: partial 16S ribosomal RNA
Rfam family: Bacterial small subunit ribosomal RNA
Source: RNAcentral
AGUGAACGCUGGCGGUAGGCCUAACACAUGCAAGUCGAACGGCAGCACAGUAAGAGCUUGCUCUUACGGGUGGCGAGUGGCGGGCGGGUGAGGAAUACAUCGGAAUCUACUUUUUCGUGGGGGAUAACGUAGGGAAACUUACGCUAAUACUGCAUACGACCUACGGGUGAAAGCAGGAGAUCUUCGGACCUUGCGCGAUUGAAUGAGCCGAUGUCGGAUUAGCUAGUUGGCGGGGUAAAGGCCCACCAAGGCGACGAUCCGUAGCUGGUCUGAGAGGAUGAUCAGCCACACUGGGACUGAGACACGGUCCAGACUCCUACGGGAGGCAGCAGUGGGGAAUAUUGGACAAUGGGCGCAAGCCUGAUCCAGCCAUGCCGCGUGGGUGAAGAAGGCCUUCGGGUUGUAAAGCCCUUUUGUUGGGAAAGAAAAGCAGCAGGUUAAUACCCCGCUGUUCUGACGGUACCCAAAGAAUAAGCACCGGCUAACUUCGUG